RNAcentral lists this long non-coding RNA (1462 nucleotides) under Carassius auratus (goldfish). RNAcentral's name for it is "lncRNA (ENSCARG00000035067.1)". Lineage: Eukaryota; Metazoa; Chordata; Actinopteri; Cypriniformes; Cyprinidae. The record is from RNAcentral.
AACACGCUACCGCUUUGCGACUCUAAACAGCUUCCUGUUUUCUUUCCUAUCCCGACGUCUCGGUCACGGUCACGUGGUAAGUGUAAUCUCGCGAUGCACGGGAUUUCAAAUGACAGGCGCACAGAGCUAUUUAUUUUAUUUUAUUUUUUAUGAUUUUUAAAGAAGUCUCUUAUGUUCACCACAGCUGCAUUUAUUUUAUGAGAAAUACAGUAAAUAGCAAUAUUGUUUAAUAUUAUUAAAAUUUAUAAUAACCUUUCUAUUUUAAUGCAUGUGAUGUAAUUUAUUCCUGCGAUGGAAGGUGAUUUUUCAUCAGCCAUUACUCCAUUCUUCAGUGUCAGAUAAUCCUUCAGAAAUAUUUCUAAUAUGCUGAAUUGGGGAUCAAGAAGCAUAAUUAAUUUUAUUUUAUAAAAUAACGAUUAAAAAAGUAAUAUAAAUGUAAUAUAUAUUAAUAUAUAAUAUAUAAAAUGUGUAUAUAACAAUAUAUAUCAUACAUUUUAAGAUAUUCACCAGAACCUUGGUGAUAUUUUUUUUUUCAGCUGGAGGUUCAGGAGGCGAAGGCCAUGAUGGAUAACCACCCUCAGUGGGAUAUCCCAGAAACUGAAGAAGAGGAGGAUGACCAGGAGGACAGUGAUGGCAUUGAGGAAUCUGAGGAAGAUGAAGAAGACAACGGCUAAACCAGUCAUCUCUCUAUGGCUCUGAGGGAUUAGGCCUGACUUCCCCACCAGCAGCGGCCAAAGUGGCCCGAACUGGGGAUGACAACUGAUGAGGAUCAAGGCUUGGGCUAUUCUGCCCUCUGAGAGGCACUGUGAACUGAGAAGAGCUGGACAGGAGAAAAGCCCUUGGACAGGAGAGACGCAAUCUCAAUGUUCAAUGAAUGGAUCCCCCUACAUAGUCACAAAGUAUUACUGAUUCAAAAGAAGUGCCUGCUUGACGAAGCUAAAGAGUCCGAUAAUGAAGCAAAUGGCAUUCAUCUGGUCAUGUGAUCUCAAAAUGGCCACCUCCAUCAGGAGACUCCUUUCGUGUAAAAUAAAUCAUUUACUGAGUUUUCAUCUCAUGUACCCAAUUUAAAACAUGAAUAAUUUGCUAAAAAUACUUUUAAAAAUGAAAAAUGUAAAACUUAUUUAAAGAGGGAAAAAUUGCUCCUUUAAGAGCCUUAGUCAAUUUCCCUGUAAUGUGUUUUAAUCAUUUAUCAUCAUAUUUUUAUUUACACUUGACUGAAACAAAAUGCUACCUUUAAUCCAAUAUAAUCAAGUGAGAAUACAUUUUUAAGGUUGGUGUGCUGACAGUUUGGCCAGUGAUAUCGCUGAAGGAAAGAUCCCCCUACAACUCCUUGUUAGUUGCCAAUUGUGAACUUUUUUUGCCCUGAAGGGCAGUUCAGUGUGAGUUGGUUCUCAUUCACUGGCUGGCUUUUGUGGGCCGCCCUUGCUUUCAUUCCUCCGUGCGUUACACCAAUUAAAGGAGG